Molecule: long non-coding RNA, 3052 nt
Organism: Neofelis nebulosa (Clouded leopard)
Lineage: Eukaryota; Metazoa; Chordata; Mammalia; Carnivora; Felidae
Exons: 3
Source: RefSeq, a predicted model, not a curated record
UUGACCCCCAGAAAUUUCAGAGCGGCCAGCAGGACUGGAAGGUGACCGGCCGAGCCGGGCUUUGGCCACCGGAGUAAACUGGGGCGGGUGGACAGGGAGUCGGGCAGGACGCCCUUAAAAGUCGGUCUGGGCCGGCGGAGUGGAAGGGGUUAAAUCACUGCUAGUGGGCCGAGCGUUUUCCCGCGGCGCGUUUCACGGGCGGCGGAACUCCGGGGGCCACCUCUUUUGUCCCCGGGAGGGAAAUAUAAAUUGAGCCGCCACGCCGACCCUUUUCUUUUUUUUUUUUCUUUUUGCGGCUUGAAUGUAUUAGAAGAACUCACCAAACUGAACGAGAAGCGAAAGCAUCGUAGUCUUUCUUCCUGAGUAACCCUGCACAAAGGAGAAUGAUGACCACACGGGUCUAUCCGUAGAGGGCGCUUUAAUGUCCAGAGCCUGUUUACCCUUGUGGAGUUAGCCCUGAAGGAACUGAGGCCGGGAGGGACAGCAGCAGCAGCACCCUGGUGGCGCUUAAUGGGUUAUGAAAUCCAUAACCUCUUAUUUUCCCUUUGUGACCUGCUCCAGUGCCACAGCCAGUGGAAGUGGCCGGCAACGGCUUGAAUAAAUCCUGCAUUAAGUGGCUUUGGGGGAGUCAAACGCCACCGAGGGCACCUUGGGGGAAAUUAUGAGAACACACUGUCCAAAUGAUUAUCACCACUGCUACUGCUGUCGAGUCUUAGAUCACCUACUUCCUUCCCUCUUCGCGCCAGCCAAAUAACUUUAACACUCGCCUGGAAGACAUUAGGGAGAGUCGGAAAGAGAAACAGGCAGUGAGACAAAGUCCUAAAAAUAGACACCCUGGCCCUUGGCCCAGGUUACUCUUGUUUUCAAAUUUUGCUGUUGCUCAUAGCUCUUUCCUUACGUCAGGGACAAUUAUGAAAGAGUUUUGGGGGCUGGUGGGGAGGCUGGUGGGGAGGCAUGGGGAAUGGGCUUGUAGGGGCCAAGGGCAGGCUGCACCAAGAAGGGCCAGUUUGGUCUGAACAUUAUUUUGAAUUAAAAGCAAGGAAACCGCAGCAGAUUUGGGAAAAGCUCUUUACCUCCCCCUCCAAUCGCCUGCCCCACCAGGAAGAGAGCUAUUACCAGAGAUUUCUCUUUACCUAAGAAGUUUCUCUGCAUAAUAAGGCAAGCUUUCUUUUCCAAACUUCUCCUUUUACCUCCCUGCUAAGAGUCUUUCUCCCCUUUGUCUCCUUAGGCCCCUACCCCUCUCCUCUGCUCCCAUAAGCUCUUGUUGCCUCACUGCCUUCGGAAUUUGCGUGUCUGCAUGGAUUCCCCUUACAUAGGAACCUAAAUCUGAUUUUCUCCUGUAAAAAAAAAUCUGUCAGCUGUCGGUUUGACUCUUAGUAGAAUCAAAUGACUAGUAGAAGGACCUUAAAGGGCAGAGAAAAUUCUUCCUCCUUGACAAAGUGAUCUGGGGAAACUUUUGUGAAAGAGCUAUGUAUUUCCAAAAUGUUUGUGAAGCGGAUGGAUAGGGCACUCAUUCUCUCCGAGGCAGGCAGAAGAAAUUCUUGGGGGGGGGUGGGUAGGAACACUGGCCUGAGCACCCCUACAUUGCCUUAUAAUCCUUUGAGUAAGAGUUCAGGGUUAUGUAUGCUGGAAUGUGAAGGUUAGUACUGAAACACCCUCUGGGAUUGCCAUCCAGCCUGCAAAGCUCGCUGUGUAUAUUUCUUUAUGGAAGGAAGAUUUAUUAGAUUUGUCUUUCUUUUAAACCGGACCGUUUCACUCUCUGAGACCUAAUGGUCACCUGCACUGGUUUCCCUCUGCUCUCAAAACAGAGUCCACUGUUCUAAGCAGGCACACAGGCGGUUCAUGAAUUGGCCUCUGCUUAUCUCACUAACCUCACGUCUCACUCCAUAUGCCACCCCAAACUCCUUGCAGUUCCUGGAACUUGUGCUUCUCAGAAUGUGAUAUAGGGUUUGUCCCCACCCCCACACUUAGUCACAUGUGCUCUGUCUUCUGCACGCAACCUUCUCCCACCUUGUUCUCCAACCUGUCACCCCCAGUGCACACACACUUUUUUGGGGAGGUGGGGGGCCUGGCUAAGGUGUGCUCAGUCUUUAGAAUAAGCAAUUUCUCUUUCAGGAAGUUUUCCUUGAACUGCCAUGCCUCCAUUGGAACCCCCAUCUAUGCCAUGUGGUUUCCAUAGCACCUUGUGGUUACUCUACACAGUUUUUAAAAGACAGGAAAGUACAAAGAUUCAACUUCUGGGACCACAAGGGACUAAGAAGUACGGGACCAUCUGCUUCUAACAGAACUGCUGAAAAAAAGAUAGCAAUGCAUGAAAGGAAGAAAGGAGGAGCCCCGGGCGGUGAGAUGAGAAGAGAGAACCCAGAAGCACCCAUCUGUGUUUGAGGUGAAAAUAAGCCCAAAUGGCUGACUGGAGGUGACUUGUGACCAACACCAGGCCAACUGCCGGGCACAUACUAUACUUCACAGUCAAGAACAUUGAAAAAAAAAUCCAGACAAAUAUGGGGACAGAUUUCCUGUUUACCCCCAGCUGUGAUUAUCCCAGUAUGUGGAAUAACAUACACAACAAUGGGAGAGACAGGAAGCCAAUGCUAGUCAUGGACGGAGUGAUGGAUGUGGGAACAGGUUGUGUGGAGCUACUCAGUCUUUUUAAAUAAUUGGGUUAGCUGGUGACUUUGUGUAAGUCCUCCCUGGUUCUAGGAAGAACACCAAACUGCAGUCUUGGCCUGGCCUCUCCAGCAAGAGCACCAACUGAAUGAACCAGUCAUACCCAAAAGUAAUCCGACUGGGAGAAGCGCAGUUGCUGUUAAGCCAAUGAAAUGCAAGGCAGGUUGGAUAACUGCGUGGUUGUGACACUGUCAUCCCCUUCUGGUAAAAAUCAUUGCCUGCAAUGGCAGACCGCCCACUGCUUCCACUUCAUGGCCAAUCUUUCAAUCUUCCUGAUAAAUGUGCCCCAGCUUUGUAGCCUCCUCCAGUAUCAAGAGUGGAGUUUGUAUGGAGAUCCUUCGGGAACCGAUGUCAAAUGCUCAACAAAUGUUCUGUUAAGUUUGGU